GCUGUGGUUUGGAGUUUGUUUAAAAAAAGCCUCAUCAACCUCUUCUUCCUGGUUAGGUUGUCUAUAGUAGACCCCUACCAUGACAUCACCCUUGUUUUUACCCCUUCUGUCCUUACCCAGAGACGUUCAACAAAUCUGUCUCCUAUUUCCAUCUCAACUUCAGUCCAAGUGUAUACAUUUUUGAUAUACAGGGUAACACCUUCUCCCCUUUUUCCCUGCCUGUCCUUCCUGAGCAAGCUGUACUCUUCUA
Molecule: long non-coding RNA, 250 nt
Organism: Dermochelys coriacea (leatherback sea turtle)
Lineage: Eukaryota; Metazoa; Chordata; Testudines; Dermochelyidae
Exons: 3
Source: RefSeq, a predicted model, not a curated record